GGGAAGCCGCAGAUAUACUGUUAACACAACACAACCAGGCCGAAUGUAGCUCUCAAUCUCAGUAGGACUGUGAGAUAACCAGUCAAGAAUCUGAAAUUUUAAACCAUUCAAAGAGCAUUUCAGAAAAAGAAAAAGUAAGACGGAGUUUAAGCCAUCCAGAAACAUACAACAAAACAACAACCAUGUGUACUCAAGACAAUGAAAUACCUGAGCUCGUACGACAAAUGGAAAAUCACUAGGAUCUUUCCCGAAUAGUUUAAAAACAAUCCGGUCCGUGCGUGUCUGCAUCCAACAAAAAUAAAUUUUCAGUUCAGGAAAAGAAGGGAUAUCAAGUUAACUAGUCUUGGUUGUUGUCAUCUUCCUUCUCUUUCAUUUUGUAAGAUACUCUUUCUUUUAUAAUAAAACCACAAACUUAAGCACCGAAAAGUACUAGAUAUAAGUUGGCGGACACAGUGUUUUUAAAGUAAAAAGCACAAAGAAGCGACGAGGUCUGCGAAGCUUGAAGUGCAAUGGGAGAAGUGAAGCACAUCCUUAGAAGUGACGUACAAAAUUUACGAAAGGUCAAAGUACCGCAUGUAUAUGAAUAAGUACUAUCACAAACAAGUAUCAAUUGAAAAAACUAAUUUUAGCGUCCGAAAUACAAUGAUGCUGAUAUUAAUCUAACUCCCCAAAGCUGAGAUUCAAAACAUCGACUGCUUCUUGUUGGUGCACUCAACGCAUCACCUGUUUGAAUCACACUCCUCUCUACAGGACAUGACUUUACCAAUGAAGCGAUAACACCUUGCUUCGCAACACUUUAAGCAACAAAAGAUGACCUUUAAUAAUACUGAGCGAACUGGCAAUUUGAUGACAUUCAACCUUUAUCUAACUACAUAAUGCAUCAUCAAAUAAGACCAUUCUGCAAUACUCAGAAACUGGCAUGUUCUUAAGGAUCAGAGAAACCAUAAUUAAAUAGUAGUAAGAAUUUUGCUGCCGGUUACUGGAACUAGAGCUUCUAUAAUUGCAGCCACCAGCUUGUUCGCGUUGCCUAGCAUCAAUCUUGGAGAAAAGGACCAGCAAGGGACAUUUAACAGUUCGAUGAUCAUUUCGAAACCCAGAGUACGAUAAGUAUUGCACUCUUAAUGAAUAUUUUAUUCCCUCUUUUUCUUUCCCCUGUUUUUACUCACAGUGUGUGAAAAGAACAUCGAAGAUAGUUAAAGGCGAAAGUAGGAGAGAUAAGGGAAAUUCAGAGACAACUCAAGACAGAACUUGAUAGAGCGUACAAGUCAACCUCCAAUGAAAGGAAGGGGAGAAAAGCAGAAAUCACCACAAUUCAGCUUCAGAAAGUUUAUCAUAAUGUUAGCGGGAUAUUUCAAUAGUAAGAAUAGACCACCAAAAAAAGAGGUGAUCUAAAGACGAAAAUAGGAACUCAAGUGUUACCACUUAGACAGAAAUUGACUUUAUAAUACUCAGACACCAAAAGUGUAAAUAUGGAUCUAUAGUUAGCAAGGUAUUCCUCACACAGAAAGAGAGACUUCAUUGAUAGGUUUUAACAGGCUAUAGAACUCGAGAAAACUAUUAUGAUUCAAGCUAUUGCCUCUGUCCCCUUAUCAAACUUAGUCCACUGAAAAAUGUACCCAAUUCUAAGUCUCUGUGUCCAGCUGAGAAAAGGUAACUUGAUCCCAUCUUCAGAUAAACCAUUUCAAUAAAAACAAGGGUAUAAAGAAAGUAAAGAACGAAAAAAGAAGAAACCAACAAAAUGAAAUUUGCAGCACAAGUAAAAGUGUACUUAGAUGAUUAUAGGAGUACCUGAGUGUCACCACUGGAACUGGAAGGUGACUGGGCAGAAGCGGAAUCUGAAUUACCACUUGUUUGAGGUGGACUUGACUGGUGAGAGUCCUGCUGUAACCAAGAUGGGCACUGCACAGGGGAUCUAUCUAUAUCUUCUAUAUUGUCAUCCGAAUCAACAUAAACAUCAUUCAAGUCAAAGUCAAUCAACUUGCUCCUUCCAGUGGUACUUCCCCUGCCUUGUGCGUAAGCUUGAGAAUUGCUUUGAAUUGGGGGAAACAAAAUGCCUGGGCUUUGAGAAGAAGCCGUCCGCGCAUCUUCAAGCCUGACAUCAUGUGCAUCCAACCUUUUCUGAGGCACCUCAGCUGCCGAAUUAGUGAACUGAUGUUCUUUGGCUCUAGGAGGUGCCUGUGAACCAUUUGAGAUCAAGGAAGCUAAUUCUGGAUUUCGAAGGAUUGACCUAUUGUUCAGCAAGUCUGAAGAUUCUUGCAGAAGUCCGGAUAAGCUUUUAUCCCCGUUCAACGAACCCUGGCCGGCAAUGCUUCUUAGUAGAUGGGCCAAAAGGUCCUGAUCUUCACUGUGGUUAGUUCCGUUGGCUGCAAUAUAUGAAAAUCAUAACCUUGCAGUUAAUUCUAAAGCACAACAACAACUACUACUACCACUAUUCAAUCCCCAAACAAUUUGGGGUCUGCUUAUGAAUCCUCACUAUAGCACAAGAAACAAAAUUCUCAGAACCAAAAAAAUAAUUUAAAACUAUUUGCAAAUUCAAAACAUAGCAGAAGAAAAACUAGGAAUUACUCACAGUGCAUAUUGGAGAGCAUUUUUAGCAGGCUCAUCAAGGAAUAACCACUAGCUUGUCCAUCAUUCGAUGAAUUGUUGUUAGCUACAGAUUCUGAUUGUGUCUUUCUCCUCCUUUUAUUAUGCCCAGCUAGGCGUCGACGACAACUUCGUUUUCCUUCAUCAAACUCUUGAAGUGCAUGAAACCUGUGUAUCAAAAGCAGAAUCUUUGGAAUAUAACCACAGAAUUAUUGAAAAAGCAAUUUCCCAAGAUGAAGCAACCAAACACAGAAAAAGAUUAAAAAAAUUUUAAAGGGAUUCACAUGACUUGCCAUCAAUCAAUCCACUACUCAACAUUCACAGAUUAUUCUAGGUCAGUUAUAUUAGUCAUUCAUAUCAUUUCCACUUUUUUCGCACCCAUUUCAUUCUUUUUAUUAUGCCGGGCUAGGAUGAAACCCGUGUUUUAUCCAAGCAGAAUCUUUGGAAUAAUAAACACAGAAUUAUUCAGAAAUCAACAGUCCAAACACAAACAACCAAACGCAGAAAAAGAUGGAAUUUUUUAAAGGAUUCACAAGACUAGCCAUCAAUCAAUUAAUCAUUCAACUACAACUCAAUCCCAAAUUAUAUAGAUCGGCUAUAUUAGUCAUUUAUAUAAAGUAAAAAAGAAAUACCUGCUGCACUGCUGGCAGAAACGCUGCAUAACAUUCCCAACGAGAGCUCUACUAGCUUUGGAGUGCAUCUCACAAACUUUAUGCCGCCUAUGGUAGUCUUUAGCUUUACUUAGAUCGGUCCCACAAUCAUCAACCUGACAUACAGCUCUUGUAGUACCAGUAACAGGUGCAGGUGCAGGUGCAGCAGCAGCCAAUUUUGUCCUUUUUUCAGCUACAGGCUCAGCUUGUCCACCAAGCUUCAACGAAAGGGUCCCACCGGAAUCAUUUUCAUCAACGAUAAUCACCCUUCUCCUUUUCUCCAGUUCCCUCCUCUGUUGUUCUAUCCCAUGAUUUGUUUCGUCUGAACAGGAAGAUGAACUGUUGGAUGAAGCCACCAGAUUCCCAGUUUCGACUGGAAAAAACUGCCUGCUCUGGUAAUUAUUAGAAGGGUUUUGACGAAGAGGAGUCGCAAUAAAAAGAUCUCCGUCCCAUUUCCAAUCAGUUACAUCCCACUCUAAGCUCCUCUUCCCUAAUCCUCGCAGAUCCGGUCCUCCCAUAUGGUAAUAACGCUCUCCCACACUCGCUUCCAUCUAAGCUCCUUUUUGUGUGUGUGCACGCGCGCGUUUGAAGAUCUAAAUCCGGAGAUUUAGGUGAUUGAUGAUCGGACAAGUUUGAAUAACAGAUCAAAAGUCAAAAUUGAGAAGAAAUAAAAAAGAAGAAAGAUGAGAACUAAUCACUAAUCAGCUUCGGUACGACCCCAAAAGUCGAGUACAAAGAGAUGACAACCAUGAUACCGAUUAACAGCAAGCCACAUACCCACACCUAAUUUCAGCGUUGACUAAGGAAAAGACUCGUGAAUUUGAAGCAUCUAGAACCGGAAAUCAGAUAAUUUAGCUCAACAAAGAAGAAAGAACUUCUUUCCGGCGGUCAGGAAACGGCGGGAAGAAGGGGACGGCGGCGACCGACGGUGAAGAAAGGACAAAGGAAGGUGGUUAGGGAGUUGGGAGGUGGGAGGUGGGGGAGGGGGAG
This 4223-nucleotide long non-coding RNA is filed under the name Nicotiana tabacum (common tobacco). Its description in RNAcentral is "long non-coding RNA (NTAB_LNC002341)". Lineage: Eukaryota; Viridiplantae; Streptophyta; Magnoliopsida; Solanales; Solanaceae. The record is from RNAcentral.